AGAGUUUGAUCAUGGCUCAGGAUGAACGCUGGCGGCGUGCCUAAUACAUGCAAGUCGAACGGAGAGUACAUACUUCGGUUUAUACUCUUAGUGGCGAACGGGUGAGUAACGCGUUGGUGACCUGCCCCGAAGCGGGGGACAACAGCUCGAAAGGGCUGCUAAUACCCCAUGUGGUCGUACAGGUUAGAGGCUGAACGACUAAAGGAGUAAUCCACUUCGGGAGGGGCCUGCGUCCCAUCAGCUAGUUGGUAAGGUAACGGCCUACCAAGGCGAAGACGGGUAGGGGGCCUGAGAGGGUGGCCCCCCACACUGGCACUGAAACACGGGCCAGACACCUACGGGUGGCAGCAGUAGGGAAUAUUGCACAAUGGGCGAAAGCCUGAUGCAGCAACGCCGCGUGCGCGAAGAAGGCCUUCGGGUUGUAAAGCGCUUUUCUGGAGGAAGAGAAAGGACGGUACUCCAGGAAUAAGGAUCGGCUAACUACGUGCCAGCAGCCGCGGUAACACGUAGGAUCCGAGCGUUAUCCGAAUUUACUGGGCGUAAAGCGCGUGUAGGCGGCCGGGUAAGUUGGACGUGAAAGCUCCUGGCUCAACUAGGAGAGGUCGUUCAAAACUGCCUGGCUAGAGGGCGACAGAGGGAGGUGGAAUUCCCGGUGUAGUGGUGAAAUGCGUAGAUAUCGGGAGGAACACCAGUGGCGAAGGCGGCCUCCUGGGUCGCCCCUGACGCUCAGACGCGAAAGCUAGGGGAGCAAACGGGAUUAGAUACCCCGGUAGUCCUAGCUGUAAACGAUGUGGACUUGGCGUUGGUGGGGUCAAAUCCAUCAGUGCCGUAGCUAACGCGAUAAGUCCACCGCCUGGGGACUACGGUCGCAAGGCUAAAACUCAAAGGAAUUGACGGG
This 898-nucleotide ribosomal RNA is filed under the name uncultured bacterium. RNAcentral describes it as "bacterial SSU rRNA". It matches the Rfam family "Bacterial small subunit ribosomal RNA", at positions 8 to 917 of the family's 1533-position model. The record is from RNAcentral.